CCUACGGGUGGCUGCAGUGAGGAAUAUUGGGCAAUGGGCGCGAGCCUGAACCAGCAACGCCGCGUGAGGGAAGAAGGCUUUCUGGGUUUAAACCUCUUUUCUCAGGGAAGCAAAAACUGACGCUUCCUGCGGAAUAAGCGACGCCUAACUACGUGCCAGCGGCCGCGGUAAUACGGAGGGGGCGAGCGUUAACCGGAUUUAUGGGGUUUAAGGGGCGUUUAGGCGGGAGCGUAAGUCAGAUGGGAAAAGUCAGGGCUCAAACCAGAGCGUGCAUUUGAAACUGUGUUUCUUGAGUGCGGGAGAGGUAAGCGGAAUGCGGGGUGUAGCGGUGAAAUGCGUAGAUAUCAGGAAGAACACCAGUGGCGAAGGCAGAUUACUGGACAGUAACUGACGCUGAGGCGCGAAAGCGUGGGGAGCAAACAGGAUUAGAUACCCUUGUAGUC
RNAcentral lists this ribosomal RNA (443 nucleotides) under uncultured bacterium. RNAcentral's name for it is "partial 16S ribosomal RNA". It matches the Rfam family "Bacterial small subunit ribosomal RNA", at positions 338 to 795 of the family's 1533-position model. The record is from RNAcentral.